UCCGCCCGGGAACUACGAGCACAAACGCUUAAAACCCUAAGGACUUGGCGGUGCCCUAAACCCACCUAGAGGAGCCUGUUCUAUAAUCGAUAAUCCACGAUCCACCCAACCACCUCUUGCCAAUUCAGCCUACAUACCGCCGGCGCCAGCUCACCUCCCCUGAGAGAACAAUAGCGAACACAAUAGCCUAACCCGCUAACAAGACAGGUCAAGGUAUAGCCUAUGAGAUGGAAGAAAUGGGCUACAUUUUCUAAUAUAGAAUAACCACGGAAGAAAGUAUGAAAUCACUUUCAAAAGGCGGAUUUAGUAGUAA
RNAcentral lists this ribosomal RNA (313 nucleotides) under Turnix tanki (yellow-legged buttonquail). RNAcentral's name for it is "partial 12S ribosomal RNA". It matches the Rfam family "Bacterial small subunit ribosomal RNA", at positions 868 to 1341 of the family's 1533-position model. Lineage: Eukaryota; Metazoa; Chordata; Aves; Charadriiformes; Turnicidae. The record is from RNAcentral.